UAAAUAUGAAGAGGAAUCAGUGAUCAGUUAGAAACUCACUGAUAAAUAUACAAUUUCUUAUACAAUGUUAUAUACAUGUAUGUAUAUGACAUAAUAAUCUUAUUUUUGAGAGAAUUUAUUCUAAAGAGUAUAAACUGGAAAAAGUAAAGAUCCAGCAGCUCUUAAGACAUACACAAAGACAUGUGCGAGGGGGCGGAGGUACUUGAAGGUUAGGAUAUUUCCUCUUGUUUAAAACUCUGUUUUCGUGGUCUUAUGCACUUAGCCGUUACAUUCUUUCUUAAUUUAAUCAGGAUCAUUGAUUUAGCAGAAUAAGUAAGAAAAAUUCUUUUACUUAGGCACGACAGUUUUUUUUU
RNAcentral lists this long non-coding RNA (353 nucleotides) under Mytilus galloprovincialis (Mediterranean mussel). The record is from RNAcentral. Lineage: Eukaryota; Metazoa; Mollusca; Bivalvia; Mytilida; Mytilidae.